GACGAACGCUGGCGGCGUGCUUAACACAUGCAAGUCGAGCGGAAAGGCCCUUCGGGGUCUUCGAGCGGCGAACGGGCGAGUAACACGUGAGUAACCUGCCCUAGGCUUUGGGAUAACCCCGGGAAACCGGGGCUAAUACCGGAUAUGACCCGGUGCCGCAAGGUGUUGGGUGGAAAGUUUUUUCGGCCUGGGAUGGGCUCGCGGCCUAUCAGCUUGUUGGUGGGGUGAUGGCCUACCAAGGCGAUGACGGGUAGCCGGCCUGAGAGGGCGACCGGCCACACUGGGACUGAGACACGGCCCAGACUCCUACGGGAGGCAGCAGUGGGGAAUAUUGCAAAAUGGGCGGAAGCCUGAUGCAGCGACGCCGGGUGAGGGAUGAAGGCCUUCGGGUUGUAAACCUCUUUCAGCAGGGACGAAGCGUGAGUGACGGUACCUGCAGAAGAAGCGCCGGCCAACUACGUG
Molecule: ribosomal RNA, 462 nt
Filed under: uncultured bacterium
Lineage: Bacteria
Description: partial 16S ribosomal RNA
Rfam family: Bacterial small subunit ribosomal RNA
Source: RNAcentral